RNAcentral lists this long non-coding RNA (911 nucleotides) under Homo sapiens (human). RNAcentral describes it as "long non-coding RNA NONHSAT180397.1". The record is from RNAcentral. Lineage: Eukaryota; Metazoa; Chordata; Mammalia; Primates; Hominidae.
CUGGCGGAGGCAUCGGGGCGCCGCGACGGCGUGCGGCCGCACUCUCUGGGCCUUGGGGCUCCCCUCCGCCACCACCAGAGCAGAUACACUCAGCUCCCGGGCCCCGGAGGCCCGCACCUGCCCUGCUGGCGCCGCCUACGUUCAUCUUCCCAGCACCCACCAAUGGCGAGCCCAUGCGCCCGGGGCCUCCAGGCCUGCAGGAGUUACCACCGCUGCCACCGCCCACACCGCCGCCCACACUGCAGCCACCAGCGCUCCAGCCAACGCCGCUGCCGGUGGCUCCCCCGCUCACCCCGGGUCUGGGCCACAAGGAGUCAGCCCUGGCUCCCACCGCAGCCCCUGCUCUGCCCCCAGCCUUAGCCGCCGACCAGGCCCCGGCCCCAUCCCCGGCUCCAGCUCCCACCGUGGCUGAGCCCUCGCCGCCUGUGUCCGCGCCCGCACCCGCGGCUGCGCCCAUCAAGACCCGCACGCGCAGGAACAAGGGUUCCCGUGCAGCCCGGGGCGCGACCCGUAAGGAUGGCUUGCAUGGAGAUGGUCCUCGCGAACGAGCUACAGCUACCGUGCCUGACAGCAGUGGUGGAGGGGGUGGUGGCAGCGGGGCCUCUCAGACUGGGGCAGCUAACACCCGCGCUGCGCGCCACUGGCUGCCCUUCCAGGUGCUUAACUCCUGUCCCUGCAAGUGUUACUGCCACCACCAGCCACGCCAUCGCCGCCUGCCACGCAACGUCUCUGCCUGGCUGAGCACAUCCACCAACCACCUGGGCGAGCCACCCUGGGUUGCCACCAUCAAGCUGUCCGGCUCUCUGGUGGCCAAGCUGGAGCACUACGACUUGCAGGCCACCCAUUCCAACUGAGUGUAGUCGGCUCAACACCCUCCACCUUCCCCUCCAUGCCAAUAAAAUAACCAAUCC